GCCACUUUAAUCUGAUGGGUUAAGUAGGCAUAAAGUAUAAUCAAAUAUGGAAUCUUAAUAGGUAAUUUCUAUCCAGUUUAAAAUUUUAAAUAAUGUAUGAAAAUAUAAUUUAGUUAAUUUUUUAAUCUAGGUUAAUUAGGUGCCAGCAACCGCGGUCAUACCUAGUAGACCAGCCUACACCCGUAGUAUUUAUUUGUUCCCGUUUCGAAAUAUCUUAAUAAAUAGUGAAAUAUUAUUAUACUACUAUAUCACCAAAACUAUUCAAUAGUAAACCCAUAUAUUAAACUAGGAUUAGAGACCCUACUAUUAUGGGCCCAAAAAUUUAUUUACUAAGGAGUAAUUCUUCAAUUUAAAACUUAAAUAUUAUGGCGGCUAAACAAAAUAAUUAGGGGAACUUACCAUUUAAUUGAUAGCCACCAAGCAUAAACUCACUUACUAUAAAAAUUUGUAUACCGUUGUCUUCAUGAAUCCCUCAAAGGGGCUCACGAUCAUUCUAAUAAAAUGUUUAGACAAAUCAAGGUGCAGUCUAUAAGUAAGGAAUAAGGCGAGUUACAAUAAAAAUUUAUUUCGGAAAUGGAGUAUGAAAUAUUACAGGAAGAUGGACUUAAAAGUAUUCUACAAAUGACAAACAUAAUACAAGAAUAUAUAUUGCUUAGUGUA
RNAcentral lists this ribosomal RNA (660 nucleotides) under Sericata tantilla. Its description in RNAcentral is "partial 12S ribosomal RNA". The record is from RNAcentral. Lineage: Eukaryota; Metazoa; Mollusca; Gastropoda; Stylommatophora; Clausiliidae.